Molecule: ribosomal RNA, 375 nt
Filed under: uncultured eukaryote
Lineage: Eukaryota
Description: partial 18S ribosomal RNA
Rfam family: Eukaryotic small subunit ribosomal RNA
Source: RNAcentral
CAAUAGCGUAUAUUUAAGUUGUUGCAGUUAAAAAGCUCGUAGUUGGAUUUCGGUUAAGAGCGAACGGUCCGCCGUUUGGUGUGCACUGGUUGGUUUUAACUUCCUGUAGAGGACGUGCUCUGGGUUUAACGACCUGGACUCGGAGUCUACGUGGUUACUUUGAAAAAAUUAGAGUGUUCAAAGCGGGCUUACGCUUGAAUAUUUCAGCAUGGAAUAACACUAUAGGACUCCUGUCCUAUUUCGUUGGUCUCGGGACGGGAGUAAUGAUUAAGAGGAACAGUUGGGGGCAUUCGUAUUUCAUUGUCAGAGGUGAAAUUCUUGGAUUUAUGAAAGACGAACUUCUGCGAAAGCAUUUGCCAAGGAUGUUUUCAUUAA